This is a long non-coding RNA of Bombus pyrosoma, 1076 nucleotides long. RefSeq lists it as uncharacterized. Lineage: Eukaryota; Metazoa; Arthropoda; Insecta; Hymenoptera; Apidae. The transcript has 3 exons. The record is from RefSeq and is a predicted model, not a curated record.
UCAUGGGUUGUCACGGUGCGUUUACUUUCCCGUCUUGGCUCGAGAGCGUUUUAGGCUCGUUUGGCAUUUCAGACACCCUGUAUAAAUAGAUGCACUUUGCUCCUACAAAAGGCACUUUCUUUCUCGACCAGUCCGCUACGGACCUACGACACCACCGAUUUGUAUCACGCGAUUUGAUCAUCGUGAACACCAAUGGAACUUUAAUUUUCUUUCUUGUACUUUUGCAAGAUCCUCUAGUAAAUCAUCAUUUUAAUGUAAGCAUCUUCGAUAAAUCUUACAAAUAUCCUAGUAUUUUACAUAUACGAAUCAUUAAAUAUUAAGUAUUUUUAAAUAAAUAGUAAGUACGUUUAUGAAAAUAAUAAUCAUUUACUUAGGGACCUUGCGUCACGAGAAGUAUGCCAUUAUCGAUCGUAUCGUCACUCUCAAUUUACAAUUGUUCUUUAUAUCUUCUUAUCUACAAAGGUACACUACAUAUAAUUUAAGUAACCGUAUAUUAUGUAUUUAAAUCUAAUCAACAUUAUCUUUGGUAUAACUUUGAUAAGUGUUUCUCGUUAUUAUUUCUCUAUUAAGGCAUAAUUUGUUAAGCUUAUACUUCGCGCAAUACUUAUUUUCUAUCACGCGACGUAUUAUGAUAAAACUUUGGCAUUCGAUUAAAACCAAAGCAUCAUCUUUGGCUAUUCUAGCUUUAAUUAAAUAAUUUUAUCUUCUCCACCAUAUAGAUACUUCCAUCGAGCAAUUUAGCAAGAAAAUAGAGAUCCGAAUUACCGUGGUCCAUACAAUGAGGGUCCAGUAUGGGGAUGAUGAGGAUGCGCAGGAUAGUGGACCGAAUUCAUGUGUGCAGUUGGUUGUCCAUGGUGUCCAGGAUAAGUCCAAGGUCCUGCUGCGGUAGCACCGUAAAAUUGAUGAUGUUCUUGGCUCGAUAUGCUUGGAAUUUGCACGGUCUCUUUGCAGGAUUCUGCAUGCUUGAAACCGCGACAGAGUCACACUCAUCCGAUUCACAGUCACGAAAACCUUUCGCAAACGGAUUGCUAGCAAUUUUAAGUUGCGUGAUACGAUGAUUUUGAUAAGCUGUGACC